CCUACGGGGGGCAGCAGUCGGGAAUAUUGCGCAAUGGAGGAAACUCUGACGCAGUGACGCCGCGUGCAGGAAGAAGGUUCUCGGAUUGUAAACUGCUUUAGACAGGGAAGAAAAAAGACAGUAUCGGUAGAAUAAGCUCCGGCUAACUAGGGGCCAGCAGCCGCGGUAAUACGUAGGGAGCAAGCGUUAUCCGGAUUUAUUGGGUGUAAAGGGUGCGUAGACGGAGAAGCAAGUUAGUUGUGAAAUCCCUCGGCUUAACUGAGGAACUGCAACUAAAACUACUCGCCUUGAGUACUGGAGGGGAAAGUGGAAUUCCUGGUGUAGCAGUGAAAUGCGUAGAUAUUGGGAGGAACACCAGUGGCGAAGGCGACUUUCUGGACAGUAACUGACGUUGAGGCACGAAGGUGUGGGGAGCGAACGGGAUUAGAUACCCGAGUAGUC
RNAcentral lists this ribosomal RNA (441 nucleotides) under uncultured bacterium. RNAcentral's name for it is "partial 16S ribosomal RNA". It matches the Rfam family "Bacterial small subunit ribosomal RNA", at positions 338 to 795 of the family's 1533-position model. The record is from RNAcentral.